AUACUUAACCUGGCAGUGGAGAUACCAGGAUCAUGAAGGUGGUUUUCCCAGGAUGAAGCUCAUUCAUUGCACACAGGAUGUCCUGACCCCUGUGAUUUCUCCAAAUGCGGGAAUUCGACUACAUAAUUUGUGGUAGUGGGGAACAGCAUUCAUGCUUUCCCCUG
Molecule: small nuclear RNA, 164 nt
Filed under: Prolemur simus (greater bamboo lemur)
Lineage: Eukaryota; Metazoa; Chordata; Mammalia; Primates; Lemuridae
Description: U1 spliceosomal RNA (ENSPSMG00000018189.1)
Rfam family: U1 spliceosomal RNA
About the family: U1 is a small nuclear RNA (snRNA) component of the spliceosome (involved in pre-mRNA splicing).
Source: Rfam by way of RNAcentral